RNAcentral lists this ribosomal RNA (253 nucleotides) under uncultured bacterium. RNAcentral's name for it is "partial 16S ribosomal RNA". It matches the Rfam family "Bacterial small subunit ribosomal RNA", at positions 524 to 776 of the family's 1533-position model. The record is from RNAcentral.
UACGUAGGGUGCAAGCGUUGUCCGGAAUUAUUGGGCGUAAAGAGCGCGCAGGCGGUCGUUCAAGUCGAGUGUGAAAGCCCCCGGCUCAACUGGGGAGGGUCACUCGAUACUGAUCGACUCGAAGGCAGGAGAGGGAAGCGGAAUUCCCGGUGUAGUGGUGAAAUGCGUAGAUAUCGGGAGGAACACCAGUGGCGAAGGCGGCUUUCUGGCCUGUUCUUGACGCUGAGGCGCGAAAGCUAGGGUAGCAAACGGG